This 265-nucleotide ribosomal RNA is filed under the name uncultured bacterium. Its description in RNAcentral is "partial 16S ribosomal RNA". It matches the Rfam family "Bacterial small subunit ribosomal RNA", at positions 793 to 1055 of the family's 1533-position model. The record is from RNAcentral.
GUCCACGCUGUAAACGAUGGAUACUAGGUGUAGGAGGUCAUUUACCCCUUCUGUGCCGAAGCUAACGCGUUAAGUAUCCCGCCUGGGGACUACGGCCGCAAGGUUAAAACUCAAAGGAAUUGACGGGGCCCGCACAAGCAGCGGAGCGUGUGGUUUAAUUCGAUGAUACGCGAAGAACCUUACCUGGGUUUGACAUAUACGUAGUAGGGAAGUGAAAGCGGACCGACCCUUCGGGGAGCGUAAACAGGUGCUGCAUGGCUGUCGU